CCAGCAGCCGCGGUAAUUCCAGCUCCAAUAGCGUAUAUUUAAGUUGUUGCAGUUAAAAAGCUCGUAGUUGGAUUUCGGGUGGGGUGGUGCGGUCCGCCUCUGGUGUGCACUGCUCCGCUCCACCUUCCUGCCGGGGACGUGUUCCUGGGCUUUACUGUCCGGGACACGGAGUCGGCGAGGUUACUUUGAGUAAAUUAGAGUGUUCAAAGCAGGCCUACGCUCUGAAUACAUUAGCAUGGAAUAACACGAUAGGACUCUGGCCUAUCUUGUUGGUCUGUAGGACCGGAGUAAUGAUUAAGAGGGACAGUCGGGGGCAUUCGUAUUUCAUUGUCAGAGGUGAAAUUCUUGGAUUUAUGAAAGACGAACUACUGCGAAAGCAUUUGCCAAGGAUGUUUUAA
Molecule: ribosomal RNA, 398 nt
Filed under: uncultured eukaryote
Lineage: Eukaryota
Description: SSU rRNA
Rfam family: Eukaryotic small subunit ribosomal RNA
Source: RNAcentral